ACGGUGGGUGAUCUGCCUGCACUCUGGGAUAAGCCUGGGAAACUGGGUCUAAUACCGGAUAGGACCAUGCUUUAGUGUGUGUGGUGGAAAGUUUUUUCGGUGUAGGAUGAGCCCGCGGCCUAUCAGCUUGUUGGUGGGGUAAUGGCCUACCAAGGCGGCGACGGGUAGCCGGACUGAGAGGUUGGUCGGCCACAUUGGGACUGAGAUACGGCCCAG
This 216-nucleotide ribosomal RNA is filed under the name uncultured Actinomycetales bacterium. Its description in RNAcentral is "partial 16S ribosomal RNA". It matches the Rfam family "Bacterial small subunit ribosomal RNA", at positions 114 to 334 of the family's 1533-position model. Lineage: Bacteria; Bacillati; Actinomycetota; Actinomycetes; Actinomycetales. The record is from RNAcentral.